Molecule: long non-coding RNA, 607 nt
Organism: Corvus hawaiiensis (hawaiian crow)
Lineage: Eukaryota; Metazoa; Chordata; Aves; Passeriformes; Corvidae
Exons: 2
Source: RefSeq, a predicted model, not a curated record
UCUGCUAAUGAACAGUCAGUGCUGUGAGCAUAAACAUUCAUCAUAGUCCCAGAGUGGAAGGACUGUGGUAGUAUCUGGCUUUGCAAAAACUCUCCUUUCUUUACACCCAUGUGCAUAUUUAGCCCAAUCAUACCCCGUGAUGUUUCUGGAGGUGGAGUGUGUACUGUGAGAAGAAAGAGCAAAGGGCAUCUCUUGCCAAGGACACAGCUCAAAUGCCUUGGUGACCUCUUCUCAGAGUGUCAUAACUUUGCUCCAGAGGCAGCUGCGGGAAGGCUUGCUGUAUCCACAGCUCCUAAGGGAAGGCAGCGAAGAUCAUAGGAACCAUCCCAUGCCCUGCCCCAGCCACAGGCAACAAGAGAUGUCUGGGAGAAGACUACCAAAAAGUACCAAAACCAGAACAGUAUUGUCCACUGGGGGCUGGGCAUCCACCGUGACACGAGGUUGGCUGGCAAAUUGAGGAGAUUAAUUGCAUGGCUUCCACUGUCCCUCAACACAGGAGCUCAGGAAUCCUGGUACCAUGGAGUUGUGACCACAGGAGCCUGCAAAUCGUGAAAGAACACUUAAGCACAGGACUCCAACUACAAAUAAAAAUACGUCUUUGUGGAAA